CAGAACGGAGCUUGCUCCCGGAUGUUAGCGGMGGACGGGUGAGUAAUACGUGGGUAACCUGCCUGUAAGACUGGGAUAACUCCGGGAAACCGGAGCUAAUACCGGAUAGUUCCUUGAACCGCAUGGUUCAAGGAUGAAAGACGGUUUCGGCUGUCACUUACAGAUGGACCCGCGGCGCAUUAGCUAGUUGGUGGGGUAAUGGCUCACCAAGGCGACGAUGCGUAGCCGACCUGAGAGGGUGAUCGGCCACACUGGGACUGAGACACGGCCCAGACUCCUACGGGAGGCAGCAGUAGGGAAUCUUCCGCAAUGGACGAAAGUCUGACGGAGCAACGCCGCGUGAGUGAUGAAGGUUUUCGGAUCGUAAAGCUCUGUUGUUAGGGAAGAACAAGUGCGAGAGUAACUGCUCGCACCUUGACGGUACCUAACCAGAAAGCCACGGCUAACUACGUGCCAGCAGCCGCGGUAAUACGUAGGUGGCAAGCGUUGUCCGGAAUUAUUGGGCGUAAAGGGCUCGCAGGCGGUUUCUUAAGUCUGAUGUGAAAGCCCCCGGCUCAACCGGGGAGGGUCAUUGGAAACUGGGAAACUUGAGUGCAGAAGAGGAGAGUGGAAUUCCACGUGUAGCGGUGAAAUGCGUAGAGAUGUGGAGGAACACCAGUGGCGAAGGCGACUCUCUGGUCUGUAACUGACGCUGAGGAGCGAAAGCGUGGGGAGCGAACAGGAUUAGAUACCCUGGUAGUCCACCCCGUAAACGAUGAGUGCUAAGUG
Molecule: ribosomal RNA, 768 nt
Filed under: Bacillus sp. (in: firmicutes)
Lineage: Bacteria; Bacillati; Bacillota; Bacilli; Caryophanales; Bacillaceae
Description: bacterial SSU rRNA
Source: RNAcentral